UGUAUCUCUGGGAGAUUUUUGGUUUUGGCAGCUUUAGCCAAAGACAGUUGCAUGGGUUGAAAGAGAAGUUGGAGGAAUACGAGAUGGGGAAAAUUAAGAAAAUACAGAAGGGGAGACGGAAAGUAGAUCGGAAAGCUUAUGGUAUGUGGAAAGAAGAGACUGAUAAAAAAUGUAGGCAGAGUAGAGUAGGGACUACUGAUCAAUGUGUUCUGGCUUCUCCUACUAGAGUGGAUGUGGACCUGGACUGCCCUCCGUCUGGCCGACCUCCCUCUUAUAAUGCUGUGCGAAAGUCCGAAACAGUUCCUGAACUGAGGGCAGGAAUUCCACCGAAGCUGUCUCAAGAUAGUCCCCCUCCUGCCCUAAAGAUGUAUUCUUCGCUCGUGGCCGACCUUGGUGCGACGUCCCCAGUUGCUGGGAGGACCAGGAGCGUGACAUCGUUUGUGCAGCCUGAAGGUCGGUUCCCGAUGGUAGAAGUUUCAAACCCGGUCGCAGGAGGUGAAGACUACGCACCCUCAACUAUUUUCGUCUACAGCCCAUGGUUGCCUGCCGACCUGAGAGACGUGGCCGCCUCGCUACUCAACCCGGGAUUUGGAAGGAGGAGAGGAAUUCAAUUAUGUUUUUCUCCAGAUGCUUGAACAAUAUAAACCAAAUAUAGUUGAAGAGGAAAUGGUAAUGAUGAAAGCACUGCAGCUCAGAUGGGGAAGGGUGAAAGGAGACUGGCCCGUGCAGAAUUCUCCGUAUAAUUGGGAUCUCAAUACAGGUUAACAAUUAUGGCGCUGUGUGGACGGGUAGGUGCCUUUUUCCAGAGAUGGAUGAACUGGGAGACAAUUUCUGACUGCAAACAGAAACCAGGGGAAAGAGUCACAGACUAUCACAAUAGACUUGAGAAAGAAUUUGAAAUUCACAGCGGGAUGGGCCAAAAACCAGAAGGGGCUAAUGAUUCUCCCUGGGAACAACAGUGUAAGAUAAGACUGGUUGAAGGUCUACUCCCAGAUUUGCAGAAACAUGUAAAGGAGCACUGUGUGGCCUUGGACGAGAGCCGCAUGGGAAUCGUUUGGCCGUAUAUCAAGCACGCUGAAAAAGUCUACGAGGGCCAAAAAGAUAAGAAAAAAGAUGAGAAAGGGAAGCGCAAAACGAAACUACAGAUGGCCAAACUAGGUUUCUACAGCGGCUACGAUCAAGGAGGCCGAGGACGUGGUAGAGCUAGAGGACGACCACCAACUCGAGGAUAAGGAUACGUGUGAAAAGGAUUUUGCAAUGAAGAAUUGAUACGGAAUAAUAUAUUGUUGACUGGUACACAUCAACUGUGAAAGACGGAAUCUAAAACAAAAAUCCCAGACAGUGAGUUCACAGACCGUGAGUUCCAAUGUGUUCCUGAGCCCAUGCAGUGAUGUCCACUACAGAACCGUGUCUGUUUUUAAUGCAGUGCUGCCUGAGGGCCCAAAGAUUACGGCCAUCCAAUUUUUGGGCCUUUCCCUUGCG
This is a long non-coding RNA of Esox lucius (northern pike), 1482 nucleotides long. The record is from Ensembl. Lineage: Eukaryota; Metazoa; Chordata; Actinopteri; Esociformes; Esocidae.